AAGCCGCCACCGCCGCCGCUGCUGCAUGGCACUAGGCUCCCGGCGGGGCAGGUUCCGCAGCCGGCACCGCUCUGGCUAGGCGCACGGAGGCGCCUUGCUUAGUCUGACCCUUAUUUGGCCAGGCGUAAAACUUGUCCUGCCUAAAAGCCUACUGAGACCUCCUAACUGGUCUAAUCCGCGGGAGACGCCAAAGGCGGCGGCCGUUUGUGCGCACAGGAUUUUUCUUGGAGCUGUAGCAGUCUAGGAAGCCAGGGUGGAACUUUUGCUAAGCUCCCGUUGUAAGCCCAGAGCUGUAAUAACUGCUGAGACACAACCAGCAGUAUACAGGCUCCAGUUGGAAAUCGAGAACUUUCCAGGGCUGUCACCCAGGCUGGAGUGCAGUGGUGCCAUCACAGCUCACUGCAGCCUCGACCUCCUAGGCUAAAGUGAUCCUCCCAACUCAGCCUCCCGUAGCUGGGACUACAGGAAUGUGCCACGCCCAGGUCUAUCCAGCUGAAGUCAAAAAUGCCCCUCUCAGGCUGCCCCCAGUGACUCCAGUUUCCUAGCAGAGCCUAACCAGGUUAAGAAAUUUGUCCAUGGGUGCCUGAACCGAAAGUCAUAUUUCUUUUUACCACAAUGUGCUGCCUUAGAGGAACAAUUGCAUACAAUGGGAUCAAGUGCAUUGUAGGCUCUAUUUAUAACAUGCAUAUGAGAAAGAGAGCCCAUUGAGAUCUGCCUCAAGCUGAAGAUGAAAAGGGGGCCUCUGGAGUCGCUUGAUCGAGCAGAGUCUGAUAGAGUUAUCAGGCUUUUGCAGAUAGAAUGCCUACCACCGUAGGAUACAUUGUCAUAAUCAGUGUUUAGGCAAAACACCUGGACUUCUGCAAGGAC
This 867-nucleotide long non-coding RNA is filed under the name Homo sapiens (human). Its description in RNAcentral is "SPOPL divergent transcript". The record is from RNAcentral. Lineage: Eukaryota; Metazoa; Chordata; Mammalia; Primates; Hominidae.